CGGCCGCCGAGGGGCUGCCGUUCUGCCUCCGACCGGUCGUGUGUGGGUUGACUUCGGAGGCGCUCUGCCUCGGAAGGAAGGAGGUGGGUGGACGGGGGGGCCUGGUGGGGUUGCGCGCACGCGCGCACCGGCCGGGCCCCCGCCCUGAACGCGAACGCUCGAGGUGGCCGCGCGCAGGUGUUUCCUCGUACCGCAGGGCCCCCUCCCUUCCCCAGGCGUCCCUCGGCGCCUCUGCGGGCCCGAGGAGGAGCGGCUGGCGGGUGGGGGGAGUGUGACCCACCCUCGGUGAGAAAAGCCUUCUCUAGCGAUCUGAGAGGCGUGCCUUGGGGGUACCGGAUCCCCCGGGCCGCCGCCUCUGUCUCUGCCUCCGUUAUGGUAGCGCUGCCGUAGCGACCCGCUCGCAGAGGACCCUCCUCCGCUUCCCCCUCGACGGGGUU
RNAcentral lists this unclassified non-coding RNA (437 nucleotides) under Homo sapiens (human). RNAcentral's name for it is "partial 5' external transcribed spacer". The record is from RNAcentral. Lineage: Eukaryota; Metazoa; Chordata; Mammalia; Primates; Hominidae.